RNAcentral lists this ribosomal RNA (836 nucleotides) under Alteromonas sp. HM-LI02. RNAcentral describes it as "bacterial SSU rRNA". It matches the Rfam family "Bacterial small subunit ribosomal RNA", at positions 41 to 874 of the family's 1533-position model. The record is from RNAcentral. Lineage: Bacteria; Pseudomonadati; Pseudomonadota; Gammaproteobacteria; Alteromonadales; Alteromonadaceae.
GGCAGGCCUAACACAUGCAAGUCGAACGGUAACAUUUCUAGCUUGCUAUAAGAUGACGAGUGGCGGACGGGUGAGUAAUGCUUGGGAACUUGCCUUUGCGAGGGGGAUAACAGUUGGAAACGACUGCUAAUACCGCAUAAUGUCUUCGGACCAAACGGGGCUUAGGCUCCGGCGCAAAGAGAGGCCCAAGUGAGAUUAGCUAGUUGGUAAGGUAAUGGCUUACCAAGGCGACGAUCUCUAGCUGUUCUGAGAGGAAGAUCAGCCACACUGGGACUGAGACACGGCCCAGACUCCUACGGGAGGCAGCAGUGGGGAAUAUUGCACAAUGGGGGAAACCCUGAUGCAGCCAUGCCGCGUGUGUGAAGAAGGCCUUCGGGUUGUAAAGCACUUUCAGUUGUGAGGAAAAGUUAGUAGUUAAUACCUGCUAGCCGUGACGUUAACAACAGAAGAAGCACCGGCUAACUCCGUGCCAGCAGCCGCGGUAAUACGGAGGGUGCGAGCGUUAAUCGGAAUUACUGGGCGUAAAGCGCACGCAGGCGGUUUGUUAAGCUAGAUGUGAAAGCCCCGGGCUCAACCUGGGAUGGUCAUUUAGAACUGGCAGACUAGAGUCUUGGAGAGGGGAGUGGAAUUCCAGGUGUAGCGGUGAAAUGCGUAGAUAUCUGGAGGAACAUCAGUGGCGAAGGCGACUCCCUGGCCAAAGACUGACGCUCAUGUGCGAAAGUGUGGGUAGCGAACAGGAUUAGAUACCCUGGUAGUCCACACCGUAAACGCUGUCUACUAGCUGUGUGUGACUUUAAGACGUGCGUAGCGAAGCUAACGCGCUAAGUAGACCGCCU